Molecule: non-coding RNA, 107 nt
Filed under: Chloroflexota bacterium
Lineage: Bacteria; Bacillati; Chloroflexota
Description: Chloroflexi bacterium TPP sequence
Rfam family: TPP riboswitch aptamer (THI element)
About the family: Vitamin B(1) in its active form thiamin pyrophosphate (TPP) is an essential coenzyme that is synthesised by coupling of pyrimidine and thiazole moieties in bacteria. The previously detected thiamin-regulatory element, thi box was extended, resulting in a new, highly conserved RNA secondary structure, the THI element, which is widely distributed in eubacteria and also occurs in some archaea.
Source: RNAcentral
AUUUGCCACUAGGGGAGCUGGAAGGCUGAGAGUCCCGGAACACUCGGGACACACCCUUUGGACCUGAACUCGGUAAUGCGAGCGUAGGGAAGUGGGUUGAGACCGGA